This 376-nucleotide ribosomal RNA is filed under the name uncultured bacterium. Its description in RNAcentral is "bacterial SSU rRNA". It matches the Rfam family "Bacterial small subunit ribosomal RNA", at positions 523 to 898 of the family's 1533-position model. The record is from RNAcentral.
AUACGUAGGGGGCAAGCGUUGUCCGGAAUUAUUGGGCGUAAAGCGCGCGCAGGCGGCUUUGUAAGUCUGGUGUUUAAACCCGAGGCUCAACCUCGGGUCGCAUCGGAAACUGCAAGGCUUGAGUGCAGAAGAGGAAAGUGGAAUUCCACGUGUAGCGGUGAAAUGCGUAGAGAUGUGGAGGAACACCAGUGGCGAAGGCGACUUUCUGGGCUGUAACUGACGCUGAGGCGCGAAAGCGUGGGGAGCAAACAGGAUUAGAGACCCUGGUAGUCCACGCCGUAAACGAUGAAUGCUAGGUGUUAGGGGUUUCAAUACCCUUGGUGCCGAAGUUAACACAUUAAGCAUUCCGCCUGGGGAGUACGGUCGCAAGACUGAA